RNAcentral lists this ribosomal RNA (758 nucleotides) under uncultured Mycoplasma sp. Its description in RNAcentral is "bacterial SSU rRNA". It matches the Rfam family "Bacterial small subunit ribosomal RNA", at positions 212 to 971 of the family's 1533-position model. Lineage: Bacteria; Bacillati; Mycoplasmatota; Mollicutes; Mycoplasmatales; Mycoplasmataceae. The record is from RNAcentral.
GCUUCACUAGAGGAUCGGGGUGCGCAACAUUAGCUAGUUGGUAAGGUAAAGGCUUACCAAGGCGAUGAUGUUUAACGGGGUUGAGAGACUGAACCGUCACACUGGGACUGAGAUACGGCCCAGACUCCUACGGGAGGCAGCAGUAGGGAAUUUUCCACAAUGGGCGAAAGCCUGAUGGAGCGACACAGCGUGCAGGAUGAAGGCCUUCGGGUUGUAAACUGCUGUUAUUUAGGAUGAAAAAAUAAAUGAGGAAAUGCAUUUAUCUUGACAGUACUAAAUCAGAAAGCAACGGCUAACUAUGUGCCAGCAGCCGCGGUAAUACAUAGGUUGCAAGCGUUAUCCGGAAUUAUUGGGCGUAAAGCGUCUGUAGGUUGUGUGUUAAGUCUGGCGUCAAAACUUGGGGCUCAACCCCAAAUCGCGUUGGAUACUGGCACGCUAGAAUUGUGUAGAGGUUAACGGAAUUCCUUGUGAAGCGGUGAAAUGCGUAGAUAUAAGGAAGAACAUCAACAUGGCGAAGGCAGUUAACUGGGCACAUAUUGACACUGAGAGACGAAAGCGUGGGGAGCAAACAGGAUUAGAUACCCUGGUAGUCCACGCCGUAAACGAUGAUGAUUAGCUGAUGGAAACCAUCGGCGCAGCUAACGCAUUAAAUCAUCCGCCUGAGUAGUAUGCUCGCAAGAGUGAAACUUAAAGGAAUUGACGGGGAUCCGCACAAGCGGUGGAGCAUGUGGUUUAAUUUGAAGAUACGCGUAGAACCU